RNAcentral lists this long non-coding RNA (780 nucleotides) under Hordeum vulgare. Its description in RNAcentral is "long non-coding RNA (HVUL_LNC010093)". Lineage: Eukaryota; Viridiplantae; Streptophyta; Magnoliopsida; Poales; Poaceae. The record is from RNAcentral.
UAUUAAUUUUUAGUUAGUUCCUUUUAUAAAUAAAAAGAUUGCAAUUCAAGUUGUUCUAAUAAAUUAUCAUCUAAAUAUUAGCCCGUGAUGACGCAUGGGUUGACGACUACUUCUUUUAAUUAGGAAGUGUUCUCUUUGUUUGUGACGGUAGGUUUAAUCUCUUGCGUGCGUGUCGUAUUUCUUUAAUAAUAAGACAUGUACUUUUAGUUUAACGAAAGGGAGACCAAAGGGAGCACAUUAGUGACAGUAGGUUUAAUCUCUUGCGUAUGUGCUGUUUUUUCUUCUAGGGCGUGGUGAUUAUAGUCUAACGAAAGGGAGACCAAAGGGAGCACGUCUCCUAUAGAUUUUUUUCUUUGCACAAGCGUAGAAGGAAAGACCAAUGGGCUAGACGUCUCUUGUUUCAUCCUACGGCUAUGAAACAAUUACAUAUUAGUUGGACGGUUGGAAUUUUUUUACUUUCUAGGUUUAAAGUGGAGUCGGUAUCAUUUUCUUCUUGCAGGAGGCAAUGGCAAGAGCAUAUUGUGUAGGGGAAGAGGAUGAGAAGAAACUUGUGGUACUCAUCCAAUCCUUGUUGAACUCUCUUUAUAUGCGAAUGUGCACUUGUUGGGUCCUUUUUCUGUGUACUUGCACUUGGAGAAGUAUUAUGUUGUGCACAUGUAAAAUUAUUUUGAUGUGCCCUUGUUAGGCGUUGAACCUUAAUGCGUGGAGUCGUUGGAUGAUGUAUUGUAUUUGAUGUGAUAUGCUACUGAAAUGAAAUGUACAUUUUAUUUGCAAUCUUUU